CUAGUUCCAGGACAGAUAGGCUU
This 23-nucleotide non-coding RNA is filed under the name Cricetulus griseus (Chinese hamster). The record is from RNAcentral. Lineage: Eukaryota; Metazoa; Chordata; Mammalia; Rodentia; Cricetidae.